UCUGCGUGUCGCUGGCGGCGUGCAGCGUCAGGAACUGCACGGCCUCCUGCAGGCACCACGAGUAGCCUUCGCUGUAGUCCUGGUGCAGGCUCUUGGGGCCGGCGGCGGCGACGAAGGCUGCGGGGACACGCGGCGGCGGUGUGAACAGAUGCAGCUGGCCAGGUGUGACCCCGAGUCUGACCCGCAGCCAGGGAGGACACCUGUUCGUGGGAGGAAAAAAGGAGCCGGGUGCAGAAGCAGAACAUGAGAGUGGACAUGGAAUGUGACCUCUGAAGCACAGCGUCACCUAGAGACAGUUAAGCCUCAAUGUCUGUGGGCCUUCCUGACAGCCGCCAGGCCCACCGCAAGAGCUUGGAGAAGCGGAGUUUUCUUCAAACUCCCCCAAAGAAGGAGAAGUCUCGGCCAUCUUGGACGUCUCCUUCCCUAGCUGGCUAAACAGUGGGCGCUUUCCCAGUGCUGCCGCUGCUGCACAGCCGAGGCGCCCUCUGGCAGCCCUUGCGCGGGCGUGACAGAGGGCUUAGAGCAUCUUGCCUUAGAGUCAUUCAUUUCACAGUGUCACCCAGGUUCACACUUCCGACCCGAGAGACAUUAGUAAAGGAAUUAAGAUCACCUAUGAAUAACCAGGAGCACAUAUAAAUAACUAAUACCUACUACGGUUAUAUUUCUAAUUACUUUCUUCUUCAUUAUUUAUAUGGAAAUAGGCUGAGGCCUUUUGCUCCUGCCCCACUUAUGGGAUCUCCCCCCUACAAAUUAUGAUUAUCAAGCCCAUUGUACAGAUGAGGAAACUGAGCCUUUACAAGGUGAGGGGACUGGGCUGCCCAGGUGUGCUCCUGGUCCCACGCAGGGGUCAGCCUCUCAGCUCGUACUUUGCAGCAGCUCCCCAGGCUCCAGGUUGUUGAGGCCAGGAACACAGGCAUCUGCUUAAACCAUCUCUGUGGGGCUUCCACAUACCCCUCUGUGAACUGGGUGCCUUCCAGACCUGCCUGCCAUCUCCAGUAGCACUGAUGACAGCCACAGACAGUGGCCAGAACAGUGGCUGUGUGGCCUAGCUCCGCCAGCUGGCAGGCCCUGCGCAGGGUCCCUCAGUUUCUCAGCCCUCCUCUUUCUGUGCCUGUGGAGACACAGACCACCCUUCUGCAGUCUCCCGUGACAUUUCAGGGGUGUGCUGGGGCACAGCUCUGGGGUGCAGAGUCUGGGUGCAGCUUGAACCUACAGGGGUCCCCCAGGAACGUAUUUCCUUCUGAGAGGCCCCAGGGCAGGCACUGAGUGGCUUGGUGAAAAUGGCAGGUCCAGGUCAGGGCUGGGGUCUGCCCUUGUCUUUCUCACCUAGAGACUGGUGGACACACCCCACUCCUCUCUGAGCCUCAGUUGAUGGGUCUAUGAAAUGAACUUUCCAGGCUGGGCACUGUGGCUCAUGCCUGCAGUCCCAGCACUUUGGGAGGCCGAGGCAGGCAGAUCACCUGAGGUUGGGAGUUUAAGACUAACUUGACCAACAUGGAGAAACCCCAUCUCUAUUAAAAAUACAAAAAAUAGCCAGGCGUAGUGGCACACACCUGUAAUCCCAGCUACACAGGAGGCUGAGGCAUGAGAAUCACUUGAACCCAGGAGGCAGAGGUUGUGGUGAGCUGAGAUAGUGCCACUGCACUCCAGCCUGGGCAACAAGAGCAAAACUGCGUCUCAAAAAAUACAAAAUUAAAAAAAUAAAAAUGAGCUUUCAGCUUUCAA
Molecule: non-coding RNA, 1725 nt
Organism: Callithrix jacchus (white-tufted-ear marmoset)
Lineage: Eukaryota; Metazoa; Chordata; Mammalia; Primates; Cebidae
Source: RefSeq, a predicted model, not a curated record